RNAcentral lists this ribosomal RNA (254 nucleotides) under uncultured bacterium. RNAcentral describes it as "partial 16S ribosomal RNA". It matches the Rfam family "Bacterial small subunit ribosomal RNA", at positions 524 to 776 of the family's 1533-position model. The record is from RNAcentral.
UACGUAGGGGGCUAGCGUUGUCCGGAAUCAUUGGGCGUAAAGAGCGUGUAGGCGGUCCGGUAAGUCCGUUGUGAAAGUCAGGGGGCUCAACCCUUGAAUGCCGGCGGAUACUGUCGGGCUAGAGUCCGGAAGAGGCGAGUGGAAUUCCCGGUGUAGCGGUGAAAUGCGCAGAUAUCGGGAGGAACACCUAUGGCGAAGGCAGCUCGCUGGGACGGUACUGACGCUGAGACGCGAAAGCGUGGGGAGCAAACAGG